RNAcentral lists this ribosomal RNA (253 nucleotides) under uncultured bacterium. RNAcentral's name for it is "partial 16S ribosomal RNA". It matches the Rfam family "Bacterial small subunit ribosomal RNA", at positions 524 to 776 of the family's 1533-position model. The record is from RNAcentral.
UACGAGAGGCCCAAACGUUAUUCGGAAUUACUGGGCUUAAAGAGUCCGUAGGCGGCGCGGAAAGUGGGGUGUGAAAUCCCCCGGCUUAACCGAGGAAUUGCGCUCCAAACUGCCGUGCUUGAGGAACCUAGAGGUGAGCAGAACUGAUGGUGGAGCGGUGAAAUGCGUUGAUAUCAUCAGGAAUACCGGAGGCGAAGGCGGCUCACUGGGGGUUUUCUGACGCUGAGGGACGAAAGCCAGGGUAGCGAACGGG